UACGAAGGGGGCUAGCGUUGUUCGGAAUGACUGGGCGUAAAGGGCGCGUAGGCGGCCUAAUAAGUUUGGUGUGAAAGUCCUGGGCUUAACCUGGGGAUUGCACUGAAAACUAUUAGGCUAGAGAUCAAGAGAGGAAAAUGGAAUUGCGAGUGUAGAGGUGAAAUUCGUAGAUAUUCGCAAGAACACCAGUGGCGAAGGCGGUUUUCUGGCUUGAUACUGACGCUAAGGCGCGAAAGCGUGGGGAGCAAACAGG
RNAcentral lists this ribosomal RNA (253 nucleotides) under uncultured bacterium. Its description in RNAcentral is "partial 16S ribosomal RNA". It matches the Rfam family "Bacterial small subunit ribosomal RNA", at positions 524 to 776 of the family's 1533-position model. The record is from RNAcentral.